UUUUUUGUUGAAUUGGCUGAUAUCAUUAAAUUGAAAGGUUGAUAUCUAUGAUGAUUCUAAGUGAUUAUUCAUGAGGAUUGAGCAUAUUUGGUUUUGUUUUCCUGUUAGAUCUAGUUGUGUGAGCUAUAAGUUUUUUGUUGAGACUUUCAGUUUGUUUUGGUCAUAUUUAGUCAUGUAUAUCGUUCAGUUUCAGUUGCGUUUCUAAGUGUUAGGGUUUGGUGUUAAUUGGUGAAAUAUAUCAGAUCUUGAAUUUCGAUUUUACAAGAUUGUUGAUCCUUAUUAAUUCUACAUGUAUUUGGAACUGGUAUAGUAUAUUGUGUUGAAUUUCCGUUGUUGUCUUGUGUUCAGAUCAGUUGUUUGGUUUCUUCUUCUUGUCUGUUCUUUUUUUUAGCGAUUGCAGGUAAAGAUCUUGUAAGAUCUGUUUGGAUUUGGAUUUUGUGAGACGCAAUCUAUUUGAUGUUUGGAUACCUGCAAAGUCUUGUAACAGUAGUUUGGUGCUGAAGAAGGAGUUCUUCUAUCGAUUGCUUAUUGAAGACCUGUGUUGGUCUCUAAAACCCUUGAAGGUUUUAGGGCAAACCAACCAGAGAUAUUUUGCUGUGACUUGGCUAGUUUUUUGUAGUUCUUGAAAACUACAGUUGUGAUCUCUAUUGAUAUUAUACGCACCCUCUUGUGAACCAUGUGUUGUGAAAUCUUUUUGAAGACGAAUCAAGUUGAAGACGAAUCAAGUUGA
RNAcentral lists this long non-coding RNA (730 nucleotides) under Helianthus annuus (common sunflower). RNAcentral's name for it is "sRNA HanXRQr2_Chr05g0235891". The record is from RNAcentral. Lineage: Eukaryota; Viridiplantae; Streptophyta; Magnoliopsida; Asterales; Asteraceae.